This 497-nucleotide ribosomal RNA is filed under the name uncultured bacterium. RNAcentral's name for it is "partial 16S ribosomal RNA". It matches the Rfam family "Bacterial small subunit ribosomal RNA", at positions 28 to 507 of the family's 1533-position model. The record is from RNAcentral.
GAUGAACGCUGGCGGCGUGCCUAAUACAUGCGAGUCGAGCGAACGGACGAGAAUCUUGCUUUUCUGAUGUUAGCGGCGGACGGGUGAGUAACACGUGGAUAACCUACCUAUAAUACUGGUAUAACUUCGGGAAACCGGAGCUAAUACCGGAUAAUAUUUUGAACCGCAUUGUUCAAAGGUGAAAGACGGUCUUUCUGUCACGUAUAGAUGCAUCCGCGCUGCAUGAGCUAGUUGUUAAGUUAACGGCUUACCAAGGCAACGAUGCAUAGCCGACCUGAGGGGGUGAUAGCCCACCUUGGAACUGAGACACGCACAAGAGGCCUGAGGGAGGGACCAGUAGGGAACGUUACGCAACAGGCGAAAGCCUGACGGAGCAACGCCGAGUGAGUGAUGAAGGCCUUCGGAUCGUAAAGCUCUGUUAUUAGGGAAGAACAUAUGUGUAAGUAACUGUGCACACCUUGACGGUAACUAAUAAGAAAGCAACGGCUAACUACGUG